UACAGAGGUGGCAAGCGUUGUUCGGAAUUACUGGGCGUAAAGGGCGCGUAGGCGGUCUUGCAAGUCCUGUGUGAAAUCCCUCGGCUCAACUGAGGAACUGAACAGGAAACUGCUUGGCUUGAGUUCGGGAGAGGGAAGCGGAAUUCCGGGUGUAGCGGUGAAAUGCGUAGAUAUCCGGAGGAACACCGGUGGCGAAGGCGGCUUCCUGGACCGACACUGACGCUGAGGCGCGAAAGCUAGGGGAGCAAACGGG
RNAcentral lists this ribosomal RNA (253 nucleotides) under uncultured bacterium. RNAcentral's name for it is "partial 16S ribosomal RNA". It matches the Rfam family "Bacterial small subunit ribosomal RNA", at positions 524 to 776 of the family's 1533-position model. The record is from RNAcentral.